RNAcentral lists this ribosomal RNA (301 nucleotides) under uncultured bacterium. Its description in RNAcentral is "partial 16S ribosomal RNA". It matches the Rfam family "Bacterial small subunit ribosomal RNA", at positions 509 to 807 of the family's 1533-position model. The record is from RNAcentral.
CAGCAGCCGCGGUAAUACAGAGGAUGCAAGCGUUAUCCGGAAUGAUUGGGCGUAAAGCGUCUGUAGGUGGCUUUUCAAGUCCGCCGUCAAAUCCCAGGGCUCAACCCUGGACAGGCGGUGGAAACUACCAAGCUGGAGUACGGUAGGGGCAGAGGGAAUUUCCGGUGGAGCGGUGAAAUGCGUAGAUAUUAGGAGGAACAUCAGCGGCGAAGGCGGCUUUCUGGACUGCAACUGACACUGAGGUACGAAGGCGUGGGGAGCAAACAGGAUUAGAUACCCGAGUAGUCCCUGUCUCUUAUAC